CUCAGACAUCAGUUCUAUUGAACUGAGAGUAGGGGGAUGUGGACAUUUUUGUGAAGGUGCAAUGUGAGUUGGACUGGAAGAAUGUCUAUUACAGAUCCUAAUUGAAGUAGCGAUUAUCCAGGCUUGUAUCCUGGGGGCUGAUGAGGAGUAGGGUUUCUGGACAACUUAAACAGAUCCAGAGUUAGUCGAUCCUAAUCUCAAUAAUGGGAGAAAGGGAGUACAGUUGAUAUUCUGUAACUGACAACAGUUCGCGGCAACGCAUACUAUUUUUCUCCGCCAAUCUUAUACCGUUGGUAGGGAUCUCUUUCCUACAUGACAGUACUAAUACCCAGGGAAACUGGUCAUCAGGCGAACUGCGGCGUUCUGCUGGCAAAACAUAGCUUCGGUUAUGUCAAUGGCUAUUGGAUUGGUCCAUGAAGCGAAAAAUAGUUUACUGUGUCACUCGUACCGAUAACCGCAUCAGGUCUUCUAGGUAAGUAGCCUAUGGCCAUUGAGGCAUGAUAGUUCAGGGAAUUCGGCCAAUUAGAGCUGUAACUUCGGGAUAAAGCUUGGCUCUGAUGAAAAUCAGAACCGAUUGUUACGCGGAGAGCCCAACUGUUUAAUAAAAACGUAGUGUCGCGCUGUGGUAGUAUAGCCAGUGAACGCGACAUGAAUCCUGCUCAGUGCUGUGUCUGUUAAUAUGGUUCAAGCCAACGAAGCACCGGUAAAUAGCUGGGGUAACUAUGACUCUUAUCAAAGUAGCGAAAUACCUCGUCACUUAAUUAGUGACCUGCAUGAACGGAGCUAUGAGGUUCUCACUGUCCCAAACUGUCUCUCAGCGAACCAACUGUAGUGGGAACGGUCACUAGAUAUCCAGCGGGGAAAGAAGACCCUGUAGAGCUUCACUUUGGUCUAGUCUUGUAUAGUUCCUGCGGGGGUGUAGACUAGGUGGGAGAGCAAUCGAUUCUGAAAAACCCACUA
This 960-nucleotide non-coding RNA is filed under the name Trichomonas vaginalis G3. Its description in RNAcentral is "Eukaryotic large subunit ribosomal RNA". It matches the Rfam family "Eukaryotic large subunit ribosomal RNA", at positions 1347 to 2502 of the family's 3401-position model. Lineage: Eukaryota; Parabasalia; Trichomonadida; Trichomonadidae. The record is from Rfam by way of RNAcentral.